ACUCCUACGGGAGGCAGCAGCAGGGAAUAUUGCACAAUGGGCGAAAGCCUGAUGCAGCGACACCGCGUGCGGGAUGACGGCCUUCGGGUUGUAAACCGCUUUCAGGAGGGAAGAAAAUGACGGUACCUCCAGAAGAAGCUCCGGCCAACUACGUGCCAGCAGCCGCGGUAAUACGUAGGGAGCAAACGUUGUCCGGAUUUAUUGGGCGUAAAGGGCUCGUAGGCGGUUCAACAAGUCGGUCGUGAAAGCCCGGAGCUCAACUCCGGGACGCCGGUCGAAACUGUUGUGACUAGAGUUCGGUAGAGGUGAGUGGAAUUCUCGGUGUAGCGGUGGAAUGCGCAGAUAUCGAGAGGAACACCAUUAGCGAAGGCGGCUCACUGGGCCGAUACUGACGCUGAGGAGCGAAAGCGUGGGGAGCAAACAGGAUUAGAUACCCUGGUAGCGAG
This 446-nucleotide ribosomal RNA is filed under the name uncultured bacterium. RNAcentral describes it as "bacterial SSU rRNA". It matches the Rfam family "Bacterial small subunit ribosomal RNA", at positions 335 to 797 of the family's 1533-position model. The record is from RNAcentral.